GUGUUACGUGAAAGGAGAGAAGGUUAGCACUCCCCUAACGAGGAUGGAAGAGGCCCUCAGGCCUGCACAACACACACACGGUCAAGACUCAAAUGUGGCCUCUCUCU
This 107-nucleotide non-coding RNA is filed under the name Dasypus novemcinctus (nine-banded armadillo). The record is from RNAcentral. Lineage: Eukaryota; Metazoa; Chordata; Mammalia; Cingulata; Dasypodidae.